CUUGGUCCAGGAGAGUGGUUGGUGGCUCGGGCUGUGCACUCAGACAGGCUUUUAAACUCUUCUGGAUCGAUGCUGGGCUACGUGAUCCCACUCAGCUGGAGAGCUUCUGGGAUGAAUGGGCCAAUUCCAGAGCCACUGCAGAUAGUCUGCAAGACUGAAAAGCCAAUUAUAGGAUCAUCUCAUCACUGCCUCCCACUUCCAGCUACUGCUGGUGAGCCCAUUGACCUGAAGGUUUUCACUAGCUUUGUGUGGAGGCAGUUCAAUGGGAAGUGAAUUGUCUUCCAAAAAAUGGUGUUGGGACAACUGGAUAUUUAUAUGCAAAAAUGAACUUCAAUCCCUACCCUAUUUCAUAUACAAAAAUUAAAGUGAAAUAGGUCAUAUGCCUACAUGUAAGAUCUGUCAAUGGAAAGUUUAUAGAAGAAAAUAUUUUUUAACCUUAGGUUAGGCAAAGAUUUGUUAGAUAAGACAUAAAAACAAUGAAUCAUGGGAAAACAUGAUUGAUAAAUUGGAGAAAAAGAGACAGUCUAUUAAAGUAUUGGCAAAAUAUUUGAACAGACAUUUCAUCAAAGAAUAGGAAUGAAUGGCAAACAGGCACAUGAAAAGUUGCUUGACAUCAUAGGGAGAUGCAAAUUAAAGUCACAAUAGAUACCACUUCACAUUCACUAGAAUGGCUAAAAUUAAAGUCUGACAGUAAGAAGUGUUGACAAGGAUGGGAAAGCAAAAUGCUUUAGAAAACAUGUUGGCAGUUCUUACAAAUGUUCUUACAAAUGUCAGCAACCCUCACCAGAGGGCCAAGCUAUUUCAUUCCUAGCUGUUUUCCCCCCAGAGGUAAAAUAUGUUCACACAAAGACUUGUGCUUGAAUGUGUGUAGCAGCUUUGUUUGUAUCAGCGGCAAGUUGGAAAUAAUGCAAAUGUCCAUGCAUAAGGACAUUGUGGUGUAUUUGCACAGUGGAGUACUGGACCAUGGGCAAAAGGCUGAACAACAGAUACACACUACAAACAUGAAUGGACUUCAGAGGCAGUAUUGAAAAUGAAGUAAGCCAGAGACAAGAGUCCUCACAGGAAAUUCUCGAAAAGGCAAGAAUUAUGUUGACAGAAAGCAGAUGAGUGUGGUUGCGAGGGUCUGGGGUUGGGGUGGGGGUUGACUGCAGACGGGCAUGAGCGAUCUUUUUGGGGUUAUGAACAUCUUCUCGUCAUGAUUUCUGCUGGUGGUGAUAUGACUGUACACAUUUGUCAAAUAUCAGAUUGUCAGAGAAAGAUAGUUAUUGUAUGAUCUCACUAACUUGUGGAAUUUAAGAAACAAAACAGAGGAUCAAAGGGGGAGAGAGGAAAAAAUAAAACAAGAUGAAACCAGAGAGGGAGAUAAACCGUAAGAGACUGUUAAUCAUAGGAGACAGGCUGAGGGUUGCUGGAGGGGAGUUGGGGGGGGACGGGGUAACUGGGUGAUGGACAUCA
Mustela erminea (ermine) is the source of this 1455-nucleotide long non-coding RNA. RefSeq lists it as uncharacterized. The transcript is spliced from 3 exons. The record is from RefSeq and is a predicted model, not a curated record. NCBI's taxonomy places the organism in Eukaryota, Metazoa, Chordata, Mammalia, Carnivora, Mustelidae.